Molecule: transfer RNA, 90 nt
Filed under: Actinoallomurus iriomotensis
Lineage: Bacteria; Bacillati; Actinomycetota; Actinomycetes; Streptosporangiales; Thermomonosporaceae
Description: tRNA-Ser
Rfam family: tRNA
About the family: Transfer RNA (tRNA) molecules are approximately 80 nucleotides in length.
Source: RNAcentral
GGAGAGGUGCCAGAGCCAGGUUUAUCGGGCACUCCUGCUAAGGGUGUGAGGACACCGUUCCUCCGUGGGUUCGAAUCCCACCCUCUCCGC